This 494-nucleotide ribosomal RNA is filed under the name uncultured bacterium. RNAcentral describes it as "partial 16S ribosomal RNA". It matches the Rfam family "Bacterial small subunit ribosomal RNA", at positions 28 to 507 of the family's 1533-position model. The record is from RNAcentral.
GACGAACGCUGGCGGCGCGCUCAACACAUGCAAGUCGAACGGAAAGGCCUGCUUUCCCUUGUGGAUUGCGGGUACUCGAGUGGCGAACGGGUGAGUAACACGUGAGUGAUCUGCCCCCAACUUGGGUAUAAGCCUGGGAAACUGGGUCUAAUUCCCGAUAGGACUGCAGGGUGGUGCCUGUGGUGGAAAACGAUUUUCUAGUGGUUGGGGAUGAGCUCGCGGCCUAUCAGCUUGUUGGUGGGGUAAUGGCCUACCAAGGCGGCGACGGGUAGCCGGCCUGAGAGGGUGGACGGCCACAUUGGGACUGAGAUACGGCCCAGACUCCUACGGGAGGCAGCAGUGGGGAAUAUUGCACAAUGGGCGGAAGCCUGAUGCAGCGACGCCGCGUGGGGGAUGACGGCCUUCGGGUUGUAAACUCCUUUCGACCGCGAGGAAGCCACCUGGUUGGAAGGGUGGUGACGGUAGUGGGAGAAGAAGCACCGGCUAACUACGUG